CCCAGACUCCUACGGGAGGCAGCAGUGGGGAAUAUUGGGCAAUGGGCGCAAGCCUGACCCAGCAACGCCGCGUGAAGGAAGAAGGCUUUCGGGUUGUAAACUUCUUUUAAGAGGGAAGAGAAGAAGACGGUACCUCUUGAAUAAGCCACGGCUAACUCCGUGCCAGCAGCCGCGGUAAUACGGAGGAUGCGAGCGUUAUCCGGAUUUAUUGGGUUUAAAGGGUGCGUAGGCGGAAUGCCAAGUCAGCGGUAAAAUCGGGGGGCUCAACCGCGCUCCGCCGUUGAAACUGGCGUUCUUGAGUGGGCGAGAAGUAUGCGGAAUGCGUGGUGUAGCGGUGAAAUGCAUAGAUAUCACGCAGAACUCCGAUUGCGAAGGCAGCAUACCGGCGCCCAACUGACGCUGAAGCACGAAAGCGUGGGUAUCGAACAGGAUUAGAUACCCCGGUA
Molecule: ribosomal RNA, 446 nt
Filed under: uncultured bacterium
Lineage: Bacteria
Description: partial 16S ribosomal RNA
Rfam family: Bacterial small subunit ribosomal RNA
Source: RNAcentral